UCGAGAAUCUUCCGCAAUGGACGAAAGUCUGACGGAGCGACGCCGCGUGAAGGAUGAAGUAUUUAGGUAUGUAAACUUCUUUUAUCUGGGAAGAAAUUUUUGACGGUACCAGAUGAAUAAGGGGUUGCUAAACUCGUGCCAGCAGCAGCGGUAAUACGAGUGCCCCGAGCGUUAUCCGGAAUUAUUGGGCGUAAAGGUUGCGUAGGCGGUUUUAUUAGUCUCCUGUUAAAUUCCUCGGCUUAACCGAGGUAGUGCAGGGGAAACGGUAAGACUAGAGGAAGUGAGAGGUUUGCGGAACUCAUGGUGUAGCGGUGAAAUGCGUUGAUAUCAUGGGGAACACCAAAUGCGAAGGCAGCAAACUGGUACUUUCCUGACGCUGAGGCAAGAAAGCGUGGGUAGC
Molecule: ribosomal RNA, 400 nt
Filed under: uncultured bacterium
Lineage: Bacteria
Description: bacterial SSU rRNA
Rfam family: Bacterial small subunit ribosomal RNA
Source: RNAcentral